Molecule: ribosomal RNA, 399 nt
Filed under: uncultured bacterium
Lineage: Bacteria
Description: bacterial SSU rRNA
Rfam family: Bacterial small subunit ribosomal RNA
Source: RNAcentral
AUAUUGGGCAAUGGAGGCAACUCUGACCCAGCCAUGCCGCGUGCAGGAAGAAGGCCUUCUGGGUUGUAAAGCUCUUUUACCCGGGAUGAUAAUGACAGUACCGGGAGAAUAAGCCCCGGCUAACUCCGUGCCAGCAGCCGCGGUAAUACGGAGGGGGCUAGCGUUGUUCGGAAUUACUGGGCGUAAAGCGCGCGUAGGCGGCUUUGUAAGUUAGAGGUGAAAGCCCGGAGCUCAACUCCGGAACUGCCUUUAAGACUGCAUCGCUAGAACGUCGGAGAGGUAAGUGGAAUUCCGAGUGUAGAGGUGAAAUUCGUAGAUAUUCGGAAGAACACCAGUGGCGAAGGCGACUUACUGGACGACUGUUGACGCUGAGGUGCGAAAGCGUGGGGAGCAAACAGG